Molecule: non-coding RNA, 29677 nt
Organism: Xyrichtys novacula (pearly razorfish)
Lineage: Eukaryota; Metazoa; Chordata; Actinopteri; Labriformes; Labridae
Source: the annotation of a GenBank genome assembly
GCCAUCAACACAUUUGUGAAGGAAUUUUUACUCCCCAAAAGAGCGCCCCCCCAUGGCAGGAGAAAAAAGUCCAUUUUUUCUUGUCCCAUAAGGUGAAAAUACACAUUGUUGAGUGUCACGCCUGUACGCUUUGUCAAAAUGACCCAAAAUUUGACAAUCACGUGUAUCUCAAUAAGAUCUAUGAAAAAGUCAAUGCGCAAAUAUCUGGAAAAUGUACGGUUAAAGGGCUAUUUUGCAUUUUUUGGCGAUUCGCACACAUUGGAAUUUCGCUAAGUCCUCCUAAGGCUUUCGUCCCACUGACACCAAAUUUGCUCAGGCCAAUCUACACCCCAUGGCCAUUAAAAGUUGUACAAAUCAUGACGCUGCACCCCACGGUUUACCUUCUAGGGGGCGCCAAAGAUGACCCAAAUAUCCACAUUCUUAAAAGAAUCCACAUCCCCCCUCCCCCCAUGGCAGGAGAAAAAGUCAAGUUUUUCCUUCCCAUCGCUCAAUGGCUCAAUCGCAUCGCUCUCUCGGCAAAAGCGAAAGGUGGAUCCAUUUGGAUAUAUCCUAGCUGUGUUUGUGCCCUCACUCAUGGUCCAGACUUUUUUCAAAUAGGACAUGUAGUUUGUCUGCAGCGAGUGUUUUGGUAGAAACUGCGCCUCCCAUUCAUUAUAAUGGGAAAUGACCACAGACAAGUGCGCACUCCAUCUUUGGACCUUGAGUGUGACGCGAUCGGGAGGUGGAGGCGGUCGCGCUGGGGGCGGCACGACACGGCUCGGGCCCGACAGUGCCCCACCGGGGCCCUAGUUAUUAUUUUUCCUCCGCUUUAAACUGGAAAAUGGCCCACUUCCCACUGGCGAAAACUCAUGAAAUUUGGCAGGACGACCGGGCCUGGUGAAAAAUUCGAUAUUCUGAAGUCGCCCAAACAAGAAAAUGCAAAAUGGCUCCAUAGCGCCCCCUAAGGUGAAAAUUCACACUAUUGACUGUCACGCCUGUACGCUUUGUCAUAUUGACACAAAAAUUGACACACACAUGUAUCUCAAUAAGAUCUACAAAAAAGUCAGUGCGGGUGUAUCUGUCAAAUGUACGGUUAAAGGGUUAUUUUGCAUUUUUUGCAGAUCCGCACACAUUGGAAUUUCGCUAACUCCUCCGAAGGCUUUCGUUCCACCGGCACCACAUUUGCUCAGGCCAAUCUACACUCCAUGGCCAUUCAAAGUUGUACAAAUCAUAAUGCUGCACCCCAUGGUUUAGGUUCUAGGGGGCGCCAAAAAUAACCCAAAAAUCCACAUUCUUAAAAGUUUUAUAAAUUUUUUUUUUUGUCCUCACUGGCCUCCAAGUUUUCUAGGAUGAUGCAAUGUCCAGCCAUCAACACAUUUGUGAAGGAAUUUUUACUCCCCAAAAGAGCGCCCCCCCAUGGCAGGAAUAAAAAGUCCAUUUUUUCUUGUCCCCUAAGGUGAAAAUACACAUUGUUGAGUGUCACGCCUGUACGCUUUGUCGUAUUGACAAAAAAUUUGACACACACGUGUAUCUCAAUAAGAUCUACGAAAAAGUCAAUGGGCGCGUAUCUGUAAAAUGUACGGCUAAAGGGCUAUUUUGCAUUUUUUGCCGAUUCGCACACAUUGGAAUGUGGCUAACUCCUCCUAAGGCUUUCGUCCCACUGACACCAAAUUUGCUCAGGCCAAUCUACACCCCAUGGCCAUUCAAAGUUGUAAAAAUCAUGCCGCUGCACCCCAUGGUUUACGUUCUAGGGGGCGCCAAAGAUGACCCAAAUAUCCACAUUCUUAAAAGUCGUUUUGGCCACUGCAGGAGUACAGAGUACUGCAGGAUACACACACACAGACACACACACACACAGACACACACACACACACACACACACACACACACACACACACACACUCAGAGUCUGUUUUUUAGCACCUGCAAAAACAUGCUAUUUACAUAUUUGACAACAAUGCAGAGGCUUCCUUUUGCCCCUGAAAAAAAUCAAAUUUCUAACACAACUUGACUGCUCAUUUCUCCAAAAGACAACCAUGAAGCUCCAUCCAAACCUGAAGCAGGCAGUUGGUGCAUGUGUACAGUAACCUGAGGGGAGUGAGGUGACUGCUUAUGAGGAGAACAUGAGCAGUGAAGAUUCACCUUGGAGCGAGAACAGGGACGUGCACAUGAUUAUACGGGGGCAGGGGCUCAAGUUUUUUCCAGUCGUUUAUACAAUAUGGAAAUUAAUGUGAAAUUAAAAAACAAAGUAUUAAUAGAAAGGUAAUGACUGUCCUGUGUAGGUGACAGUGAUAUCCAAUAGGCUAGGCACUCACAAGGCUGGCUGUGGCAAGUGUAAGUGAAAGCAACACGCACUGGCAGGAAGAACAGCAAACGCCGAUGAAGGAAAAGGGUCUUUGCAGUGAUGGGCGUUACCAGAGAGGACGAUGGCCAGAGGACGCGAAUGGGACGGGGAGGCAGCGCGUUGGGGGGGGGGGGGGGGGGGGACACAGCUCGGGCCCGCCAGUGCCCCAACGGGGCCCUAGUUAGGGCCCGAGCGUAGCUGCUAAGCAGCUGCGAGAGCCCUCUUGUUCCUGUAGUUUCCUUCUUUUGUUAUUAGGGCCCGAGCGUAGCUGCUAAGCAGCUGCGAGAGCCCUAUUAUUCCCCAAGUGGUUUUUCUUUGUUUCUUUCUUUCUUCUUUUUUCCUCCCCUUUGAACUGGAAAAUGGCCCACUUCCCACUGGCGAAAACUCAUGAAAUUUGGCAAGAUGACCGGGCCUGGUGAAAAAUUUGAUAUUCCGAAGUCGCCCAAACAAGAAAAUGCAAAAUGGCUCCAUAGCGCCCCCUAAGGUGAAAAUUCACACUAUUGACUGUCACGCCUUUACGCUUUGUCAAAAUGACACAAAAAUUGACACACAUAUGUAUCUCAAUAAGAUCUACAAAAAAGUCAGUGCGGGCGUAUCUGUCAAAUGUAUGGUUAAAGGGCUAUUCCGCAUUUUUUGCCGAUCCGCACACAUUGGAAUUUCGCUAACUCCUCCGAAGGCUUUCGUUCCACCGGCACCACAUUUGCUCAGGCCAAUCUACACCCCAUGGCCAUUAAAAGUUAUUCAAAUCAUGACGCUGCACCCCACGGUUUACGUUCUAGGGGGCGCCAAAGAUAACCCAAAAAUCCACAUUUUUAAAAGUCUUAUAACUUUUUAUUUUUGUCCUCACUGGCCUCCAAGUUUUCUAGGAUGAUGCAAUGUCCAGCCAUCAACACAUUUGUGAAGGAAUUUUUACUCCCUAAAAGAGCGCCCCCCAUGGCAGGAGAAAAAAGUCCAUUUUUUCUUGUCCCCUAAGGUGAAAAUACACAUUGUUGACUGUCACGCCUGUACGCUUUGGCAAAAUGACACAAAAAUUGACAAUCAUGUGUAUCUCAAUUAGAUCUACGAAAAAGUCAAAGAGCGCGUAUCUGUAUAAUGUACGGUAAAAGGGCUAUUUUGCAUUUUUUGCCGAUUCGCACACAUUGGAAUUUCGCUAACUCCUCCUAAGGCUUUCGUCCCACUGACACCAAAUUUGCUCAGGCCAAUCUACACUCCAUGGCCAUUCAAAGUUGUAAAAAUCAUGACGCUGCACCCCACGGUUUACGUUUUAGGGGGCGCCAAAGAUGACCCAAAUAUACAUUACAGUAGACAAAGUAGUUUUGCCCACUGAGUGGCGCCAAAGGGACUUGUCUGUGGAGUCUGUGAGUCACUAUUGGCCGUUUUUGACUACUUUAGAUUUUACCUUUAUAUUUCCUCUUACAAAAUUUUUACCUUGCCUUGCCUGGUAUCAUUUUUUUCAGCACAACCUCACCUGUGUCAAUUUACAGUUAUUUUAUCAUUUUGACAUACUAUAUUUACACAUUGGACCCAAAUUCACACACAAAACAUAAAAUCCGAGUGGAAAAAAGUAACGUUUUUACUGUGAAAACCACAAAUAUGUGUGAUGAACUGUUUUUAAAACUUAAACUUCAAAUAAAAAUUGUAAACUUCAAAACAUAUGCAAAUUUUUAACAAAGAACAUAGUAAUUUACCUCUAUUGACAUCAAAAUGCAGGCAAUGGCCCAGGUGUUCUUUGUAAAAUUAUUUACAAAACACUGUAUAGUCUCACAAAUGUCACUUUUUAUUUAUGCCACUACAAAAAAACAUGAUGUAAAUGAUGCAUGAUGUAAAACAUGAUGUAAAAAACUUGUGUAGAUCCUCCUCUAUGUUAGUCCAUGUGUAAUUUUUCCAUAAUUCUUUGUUUUUUGCAGCAUUUUUGUUAGUGUAACUGCAGAUUGUGCUGACAGUGUCUAUGGCAAAAAAAAAAAAAAAAAAAACUGAAAAUGCCUCAACAUGAACCCCUGGUGGUCUCUGAGGGUGAAACCUGCUAACUGCUGCAGCUCUGUCAGCUUCAGUCUCCCAUGCAGAGCUCGGAGCCCAUGUGUGGCUCUGCACCCUUAGCAGCGUUGCUAACUCCUCAGUAAGGAAAGCCUGCUUCAUGUCAGAGUCUCUAAACUCCAGAAGAAGUCGAUAAAAGUCACUUUCUUUCUAAAAAAAGUCGUUAGGGGGUCUGAAAAGUCAUUGAAUCUAACAACAAAGUCGCUAGGUUUGCAACUACGUGUCCCAGACUGCAUCCCUGCUGAGAGUCCCUCCCUCCCUUCUCAUAUUGCAGGAAGAACGUAAGUUCCCGCCCCUUGUCAAUCAGUCACCAUAUAAUUUUGGAUUGGUUGUUGUGGUGAAGUUUUCCACCAAUAGGAGAGAUGUUGUGGUGUGUAUUUUUUUUCCUUUGGCAAGCCUUUUCCGCCUGUAAGACCUGUCGCUAAUGUCUGCAUGCUAUGUUUUCCUGUCUCAUACAGCGCGAUCGAGCGCCGAACGUGAUCAAAAUAAGCAGAAAACAAGUAUCGCGGACAUAAUUUAUCAUAACUCUGGUUUUAUUUGGCCUAUCAACACAAUUUAAAAACUGGUAUAUAGGUUGAGGUCCUCACUUUUGAGAUAAGUUGAAACGGAGAGUCAACGAGGCUCCGUCUUGCAGCUACAUCCGGUUAAAUAUGUCAUGUGACUUGAACGCACACACACACACACACACAGACACACACACACACGCACACACACACACUCAGAGUCUGGUUUGUAGCACCUGCAAAAACAUGCUAUUUACAUAUUUGACAAGAAUGCAGAGGCUCCUUUUGCCCCUGAAAAAAAUCAAAUUUCAAACACAACUUGACUGGUCAUUUCUCCAAAAGACAACCAUGAAGCUCCAUCCAAACCUGAAGCAGGCAGUUGGUGCAUGUGUACAGUAACCUGAGGGGAGUGAGGUGAGUGCUUCUGAGGAGAACAUGAGCAGUGAAGAUUCACCUUGGAGCUAGAACAGAGACGUGCACAUGAUUAUACAGGGGCAGGGGCUCAAGUUUUUUCCAGUCGUUUAUACAAUAUGGAAAUUAAUGUGAAAUUAAAACACAAAGUAUUAAUAGAAAGGUAAUGACUGUCCUGUGUAGGUGACAGUGAUAUCCAAUAGGCUAGGCACUCACGAGGCUGGCUGUGGCAAGUGUAAGUGAAAGCAACACGCACUGGCAGGAAGAACAGCAAACGCCGAUGAAGGAAAAGGGUCUUUGCAGUGAUGGGCGUUACCAAAGAGGGCGAUGGCCAGAGGACACAAAUGGGACGGGGAGGCAGCGCGUUGGGGGGGGGACGCGACACAGCUCGGGCCCGCCAGUGCCCCAACGGGGUCCUAGUUAGGGCCCGAGCGUAGCUGCUAAGCAGCUGCGAGAGCCCUCUUGUUCCUGCAUGUUUCCUUCUUUCGUUAUUAUUUUUCCUCCGCUUUAAACUGGAAAAUGGCCCACUUCCCACUGGCGAAAACUCAGGAAAUUUGGCAGGACGACCGGGCCUGGUGAAAAAUUCGAUAUUCUGAAGUCGCCCAAACAAUAAAAUGCAAAAUGGCUCCAUAGCGCCCCCUAAGGUGAAAAUUCACAUGACGGCUGUACGCUUUGUCAUAUUGACACAAAAAUUGACACACACAUGUAUCUCAAUAAGAUCUACAAAAAAGUCAGUGCGGGCGUAUCUGUCAAAUGUACGGUUAAUGGGUUAUUUUGCAUUUUUUGCAGAUCUGCACACAUUGGAAUUUCGCUAACUCCUCCGAAGGCUUUCGUUCGACCGGCACCACAUUUGCGCAGGCCAAUCUACCCCCCAUGGCCAUUAAAAGUUGUACAAAUCAUGACGCUGCACCCCACGGUUUACGUUCUAGGGGGCGCCAAAGAUAACCCAAAAUCCACAUUCUUAAAAGUCUUAUAACUUUUUAUUUUUGUCCUCACUGCCCUCCAAGUUUUCUAGGAUGAUGCAAUGUCCAGCCAUCAACACAUUUGUGAAGGAAUUUUUACUCCCCAAAAGAGCGCCCCCCCAUGGCAGGAGAAAAAAGUCAAUUUUUUCUUGUCCCCUUACAUGAAAAUACACAUUGUUGAGUGUCACGCCUGAACGCUUUGUCAUAUUGACACAAAAAUUGACAAUCAUGUGUAUCUCAAUUAGAUCUACGAAAAAGUCAAAAAGCGCGUAUCUGUAUAAUGUACGGUUAAAGGGCUAUUUCGCAUUUUUUGCUGAUUCGCACACAUUGGAAUGUGGCUAUCUCCUCCUAAGGCUUUCGUCCCACCGAUACCAAAUUUGCUCAGGGCAAUCUACACCCCAUGGCCAUUCAAAGUUGUAAAAAUCAUGACGCUGCACCCCACGGUUUACGUUCUAGGGGGCGCCAAAGAUGACCCAAAAAUCCACAUUCUUAAAAGUCUUAUAACUUUUCAUUUUUGUCCUCACUGGCUUCAAAGUUUUCUAGGAUGAUGCAAUGUCUAGCCAUCAACACAUUUGUGAAGGAAUUUUUUCUCCCUAAAAGAGUGCCCCCCCAUGGCAGGAGAAAAAGUCAAGUUUUUCCUGCCCAUCGCUCAAUGGCUCAAACACAUCGCUCUCUCGGAAAAAAACGAAAGGAGGAGGAACUUGCCAUUUGGAUAUAUCCUAGCUGUGUUUGUGCCCUCACUCAUGGUCCAGACUUUUUUCAAAUAGGACAUGUAGUUUGUCUGCAGCAAGCAUUUUGGUAGAAACUGCGCCUCCCAUUCAUUAUAAUGGUAAAUGACCACAGACAAGUGCGCACACCAUCGUUGAACCUUGAGUGUGACGCGAUCGGGAGGGAGAGGCGGUCGUGUUGGGGGAGGCGUGACACAGCUCGGGCCCGCCAGUGCCCCAACGGGGCCCUAGUUCUUUCUUUCUUUAGGGCCCGAGCGUAGCUGCUAAGCAGCUGCGAGAGCCCUCUUGUUCCUGUAGUUUCCUUCUUUAGGGCCCGAGCCAGCUGCAGAGCAGCCGGGCGUAGGCCCUAUUAUUCCCCAAGUGGUUUUUCUUUGUUUCUUUCUUUCUUUCUUUCUUUCUUUCUUUCUUCUUUUUCCUCCCCUUUGAACUGGAAAAUGGCCCACUUCCCACUGGCGAAAACUCAUGAAAUUUGGCAGGACGACCGGGCCUGGUGAAAAAUUCGAUAUUCUGAAGUCGCCCAAACAAUAAAAUGCAAAAUGGCUCCAUAGCGCCCCCUAAGGUGGAAAUUCACACUAUUGACUGUCACGCCUGUACGCUUUGUCAUAUUGACACAAAAAUUGACACACAUAUGUAUCUCAAUAAGAUCUACAAAAAAGUCAGUGCGGCCGUAUCUGUCAAAAUUACGGUUAAAGGGUUAUUUCGCAUUUUUUGCCGAUCCGCACACAUUGGAAUUUCGCUAACUCCUCCGAAGGCUUUCGUUCCACCGGCACCACAUUUGCUCAGGCCAAUCUACACCCCGUGGCCAUUAAAAGUUAUCAAAAUCAUGACGCUGCACCCCAAGGUUUAGGUUCUAGGGGGCGCCAAAGAUAACACUAAAAUCCACAUAUUUAAAAGUCUUAUAACUUUUUAUUUUUGUCCCCACUGGCCUCCAAGUUUUCUAGGAUGAUGCAAUGUCCAGCCAUCAACACAUUUGUGAAGGAAUUUUUACUCCCCAAAAGAGCGCCCCCCCAUGGCAGGAGAAAAAAGUCCAUUUUUUCUUGUCCCCUAAGGUGAAAAUACACAUUGUUGAGUGUAACACCUGUACGCUUUGGCAAAAUGACACAAAAAUUGACACACACAUGUAUCUCAAUAAGAUCUACGAAAAAGUCAAUGCGCGCGUAUCUGGUAAAUGUACGGUUAAAGGGUUAUUCCGCAUUUUUUGCCGAUCCGCACACAUUGGAUUUUCGCUUACUCCUCCGAAGGCUUUCGUUCCACCGGCACCACAUUUGCUCAGGCCAAUCUACACCCCAUGGCCAUUAAAAGUUAUUCAAAUCAUGACGCUGCACCCCACGGUUUAGGUUCUAGGGGGCGCCAAAGAUAACCGUAAAAUCCACAUAUUUAAAAGUCUUAUAACUUUUUAUUUUUGUCCUCACUGGCCUCCAAGUUUUCUAGGAUGAUGCAAUGUCCAGCCAUCAACACAUUUGUGAAGGAAUUUUUACUCCCCAAAAGAGCGCCCCCCCAUGGCAGGAGAAAAAAGUCCAUUUUUUCUUGUCCCCUAAGGUGAAAAUACACAUUGUUGAGUGUCACGCCUAUACGCUUUGUCAAAAUGACACAAAAAUUGACACACACAUGUAACUCAAUAAGAUCUACGAAAAAGUCAAUGCGCGCGUAUCUGUCAAAUGUACGGUUAAAGGGUUAUUCCGCAUUUUUUGCCGAUCAGCACACAUUGGAAUGUGGCUAACUCCUCCUAAGGCUUUCGUUCCACCGGCACCACAUUUUUCUCAGGCCAAUCUACACCCCAUGGCCAUUAAAAGUUAUUCAAAUGAUGACGCUGCACCCCACGGUUUAGGUUCUAGGGGGCGCCAAAGACAACCCUAAAAUCCACAUAUUUAAAAGUCUUAUAACUUUUUAUUUUUGUCCUCACUGGCCUCCAAGUUUUCUAGGAUGAUGCAAUGUCCAGCCAUCAACACAUUUGUGAAGGAAUUUUUACUCCCCAAAAGAGCGCCCCCCAUGGCAGGAGAAAAAAGUCCAUUUUUUCUUGUCCCCUAAGGUGAAAAUACAUAUUGUUGAGAUUCACGCCUAUACGCUUUGUCAUAUUGACACAAAAUUUGACAAUCACGUGCCUUGCCUGGUAUCAUUUUUUUUCAGCACAACCUCACCUGUGCGAAUUUACAGUUAUUUUAUCAUGUUGACAUACUGAAUUUACACAAUGGACCCAAAUUCACACACAAAACAUAAAAUCCGAGUGAAAAAAGUAACGUUUUUACUGUGAAAACCACAAAUAUGUGUGAUGAACUGUUUUUAAAACUUAAAAUUCAAAUAAAAAUUGUAAACUUCAAAACAUAUGCAAAUUUUUAACAAAGAACAUAGUAAUUUACCUCUAUUUACAUCAAAAUGCAGGCAAUGGCCCAGGCAUUCUUUGUAAAAUUAUUUACAAAACACUGUAUAGUCUCACAAAUGUCACUUUUUAUUUAUGCCACUACAAAAAAACAUGAUGUAAAUGAUGCAUGAUGUAAAACAUGAUGUAAAAAACUUGUGUAGAUCCUCCUCUAUGUCAGUCCAUGUGUAAUUUUUCCAUAAUUCUUUGUUUUUUGCAGCAUUUUUGUUAGUGUAACUGCAGAUUGUGCUGACAGUGUCUAUGGCACAAAAAAAAAAAAAAAUUAAAAUGCCUCAACAUGAACCCCUGGUGGUCUCUGAGGGUGAAACCUGCUAACUGCUGCAGCUCUGUCAGCUUCAGUCUCCCAUGCAGAGCUCUGAGCGCAUGUGUGGCUCUGCACCCUUAGCAGCGUUGCUAACUCCUCAGUAAGGAAAGCCUGCUUCAUGUCAGAGUCUCUAAACUCCAGAAGAAGUCGAUAAAAGUCCCUUUCUUUCUAAAAAAAGUCGUUAGGGGGUCUGAAAAGUCAUUGAAUCUAACAACAAAGUCGCUAGGUUUGCAACUACGUGUCCCAGACUGCAUCCCUGCUGACAGUCCCUCCCUCCCUUCUCAUGUUGCAGGAAGAACGUAAGCGCCCGCCCCUUGUCAAUCAGUCACCAUAUAAUUUUGGAUUGGUUGUUGUGGUGAAGUUUUCCACCAAUAGGAGAGAUGUUGUGGUGUGUUUUUUUUUUCUUUUGGCAAGCCUUUUCCGCCUGUAAGACCUGUCGCUAAUGUCUGCAUGCUAUGUUUUCCUGUCUCAUACAGCGCGAUCGAGCGCCGAACGUGAUCAAAAUAAGCAGAAAAAAAGUAUCGCGGACAUAAUUUAUCAUAACUCUGGUUUUAUUUGGCCUAUCAACACAAUUUAAAAACUGGUAUAUAGGUUGAGGUCCUCACUUUUGAGAUAAGUUGAAACGGAGAGUCAACGAGGCUCCGUCUUGCAGCUACAUCCGGUUAAAUAUGUCAUGUGACUUGAACGCACACACAGACACACACACACGCACACACACACACACACACACACACACACACACAUACUCAGAGUCUGGUUUUUAGCACCUGCAAAAACAUGCUAUUUACAUAUUUGACAAGAAUGCAGAGGCUCCUUUUGCCCCUGAAAAAAAUCAAAUUUCAAACACAACUUGACUGGUCAUUUCUCCAAAAGACAACCAUGAAGCUCCAUCCAAACCUGAAGCAGGCAGUUGGUGCAUGUGUACAGUAACCUGAGGGGAGUGAGGUGAGUGCUUCUGAGGAGAACAUGAGCAGUGAAGAUUCACCUUGGAGCUAGAACAGAGACAUGCACAUGAUUAUACAGGGGCAGGGGCUCAAGUUUUUUCCAGUCGUUUAUACAAUAUGGAAAUUAAUGUGAAAUUAAAACACAAAGUAUUAAUAGAAAGGUAAUGACUGUCCUGUGUAGGUGACAGUGAUAUCGAAUAGGCUAGGCACUCACGAGGCUGGCUGUGGCAAGUGUAAGUGAAAGCAACACGCACUGGCAGGAAGAACAGCAAACGCUGAUGAAGGAAAAGGGUCUUUGCAGUGAUGGGCGUUACCAGAGAGGGCGAUGGCCAGAGGACACAAAUGGGACGGGGAGGCAGCGCGUUGGGGGGGGGGCGACACGGCUCGGGCCCGCCAGUGCCCCAACGGGGUCCUAGUUAGGGCCCGAGCGUAGCUGCUAAGCAGCUGCGAGAGCCCUCUUGUUCCUGAUGGAUUCUUCUUUUGUUAUUAUUAGGGCCCGAGCGUAGCUGCUAAGCAGCUGCGAGAGCCCUCUUGUUCCUGAUGGAUUCUUCUUUCGUUAUUUUUCCUCCGCUUUAAACUGGAAAAUGGCCCACUUCCCACUGACGAAAACUCAGGAAAUUUGGCAGGACGACCAGGCCUGGUGAAAAAUUUGAUAUUCUGAAGUCGCUCAAACAAAAAAAUGAAAAAUGGCUCCAUAGCGCCCCCUAUGGUGAAAACUCACCUGACACCUGUACGCUUUGUCAAAAUGACACAAAAUUUGACACACAUGUGUAUCUCAAUAAGAUCUACAAAAAAGUCAGUGUGGGCGUAUCUGUCAAAUGUACGGUUAAAGGGCUAUUUCGCUUUUUUUGCCGAUCCGCACACAUAGGAAUUUCGCUAACUCCUCCGAAGGCUUUCGUUCCACCGGCACCAAAUUUGCUCAGGCCAAUCUACACCCCAUGACCAUUAAAAGUUGUACAAAUCAUGACGCUGCACCCCACGGUUUAGGUUCUAGGGGGCGCCAAAGAUAACCCAAAAAUCCACAUUCUUAAAAGUCUUAUAACUUUUUAUUUUUGUCCUCACUGGCCUCCAAGUUUUCUAGGAUGAUGCAAUGUCCAGCCAUCAACACAUUUGUGAAGAAAUUUUAACUCUCCAAAAGAGCGCCCCCCCAUGGCAGGAGAAAAAAGUCCAUUUUUUCUUAUCCCGAAAGGUGAAAAUACACAUUGUUGACUGUCACGCCUUUACGCUUUGUCAUAUUGACAAAAAAUUUGACAAUCACAUGUAUCUCAAUAAGAUCUAUGAAAAAGUCAAUGGGCACGUAAGUGUAAAAUGUACGGUUAAAGGGCUAUUUUGCAUUUUUUGCCGAUUCGCACACAUUGGAAUGUGGCUAACUCCUCCUAAGGCUUUCGUCCCACUGACACCAAAUUUGCUCAGGCCAAUCUACACCCCAUGGCCAUUAAAAGUUAUUCAAAUCAUGAUGCUGCACCCCACGGUUUAGGUUCUAGGGGGCGCCAAAGAUAACCCAAAAAUCCACAUAUUUAAAAGUCUUAUAACUUUUUAUUUUUGUCCUCACUCGCCUCCAAGUUUUCUAAGAUGAUGCAAUGUCCAGCCAUCAACACAUUUGUGAAGGAAUUUUUACUCCCCAAAAGAGCGCCCCCCCAUGGCAGGAGAAAAAAGUCCAUUUUUUCUUGUCCCAUAAGGUGAAAAUACACAUUGUUGAGUGUCACGCCUGUACGCUUUGUCAAAAUGACCCAAAAUUUGACAAUCACGUGUAUCUCAAUAAGAUCUAUGAAAAAGUCAAUGCGCAAAUAUCUGGAAAAUGUACGGUUAAAGGGCUAUUUUGCAUUUUUUGGCGAUUCGCACACAUUGGAAUUUCGCUAAGUCCUCCUAAGGCUUUCGUCCCACUGACACCAAAUUUGCUCAGGCCAAUCUACACCCCAUGGCCAUUAAAAGUUGUACAAAUCAUGACGCUGCACCCCACGGUUUACCUUCUAGGGGGCGCCAAAGAUGACCCAAAUAUCCACAUUCUUAAAAGAAUCCACAUCCCCCCUCCCCCCAUGGCAGGAGAAAAAGUCAAGUUUUUCCUUCCCAUCGCUCAAUGGCUCAAUCGCAUCGCUCUCUCGGCAAAAGCGAAAGGUGGAUCCAUUUGGAUAUAUCCUAGCUGUGUUUGUGCCCUCACUCAUGGUCCAGACUUUUUUCAAAUAGGACAUGUAGUUUGUCUGCAGCGAGUGUUUUGGUAGAAACUGCGCCUCCCAUUCAUUAUAAUGGGAAAUGACCACAGACAAGUGCGCACUCCAUCUUUGGACCUUGAGUGUGACGCGAUCGGGAGGUGGAGGCGGUCGCGCUGGGGGCGGCACGACACGGCUCGGGCCCGACAGUGCCCCACCGGGGCCCUAGUUAUUAUUUUUCCUCCGCUUUAAACUGGAAAAUGGCCCACUUCCCACUGGCGAAAACUCAUGAAAUUUGGCAGGACGACCGGGCCUGGUGAAAAAUUCGAUAUUCUGAAGUCGCCCAAACAAGAAAAUGCAAAAUGGCUCCAUAGCGCCCCCUAAGGUGAAAAUUCACACUAUUGACUGUCACGCCUGUACGCUUUGUCAUAUUGACACAAAAAUUGACACACACAUGUAUCUCAAUAAGAUCUACAAAAAAGUCAGUGCGGGUGUAUCUGUCAAAUGUACGGUUAAAGGGUUAUUUUGCAUUUUUUGCAGAUCCGCACACAUUGGAAUUUCGCUAACUCCUCCGAAGGCUUUCGUUCCACCGGCACCACAUUUGCUCAGGCCAAUCUACACUCCAUGGCCAUUCAAAGUUGUACAAAUCAUAAUGCUGCACCCCAUGGUUUAGGUUCUAGGGGGCGCCAAAAAUAACCCAAAAAUCCACAUUCUUAAAAGUUUUAUAAAUUUUUUUUUUGUCCUCACUGGCCUCCAAGUUUUCUAGGAUGAUGCAAUGUCCAGCCAUCAACACAUUUGUGAAGGAAUUUUUACUCCCCAAAAGAGCGCCCCCCCAUGGCAGGAAUAAAAAGUCCAUUUUUUCUUGUCCCCUAAGGUGAAAAUACACAUUGUUGAGUGUCACGCCUGUACGCUUUGUCGUAUUGACAAAAAAUUUGACACACACGUGUAUCUCAAUAAGAUCUACGAAAAAGUCAAUGGGCGCGUAUCUGUAAAAUGUACGGCUAAAGGGCUAUUUUGCAUUUUUUGCCGAUUCGCACACAUUGGAAUGUGGCUAACUCCUCCUAAGGCUUUCGUCCCACUGACACCAAAUUUGCUCAGGCCAAUCUACACCCCAUGGCCAUUCAAAGUUGUAAAAAUCAUGCCGCUGCACCCCAUGGUUUACGUUCUAGGGGGCGCCAAAGAUGACCCAAAUAUCCACAUUCUUAAAAGUCGUUUUGGCCACUGCAGGAGUACAGAGUACUGCAGGAUACACACACACAGACACACACACACACAGACACACACACACACACACACACACACACACACACACACACCUCAGAGUCUGUUUUUUAGCACCUGCAAAAACAUGCUAUUUACAUAUUUGACAACAAUGCAGAGGCUUCCUUUUGCCCCUGAAAAAAAUCAAAUUUCUAACACAACUUGACUGCUCAUUUCUCCAAAAGACAACCAUGAAGCUCCAUCCAAACCUGAAGCAGGCAGUUGGUGCAUGUGUACAGUAACCUGAGGGGAGUGAGGUGACUGCUUAUGAGGAGAACAUGAGCAGUGAAGAUUCACCUUGGAGCGAGAACAGGGACGUGCACAUGAUUAUACGGGGGCAGGGGCUCAAGUUUUUUCCAGUCGUUUAUACAAUAUGGAAAUUAAUGUGAAAUUAAAAAACAAAGUAUUAAUAGAAAGGUAAUGACUGUCCUGUGUAGGUGACAGUGAUAUCCAAUAGGCUAGGCACUCACAAGGCUGGCUGUGGCAAGUGUAAGUGAAAGCAACACGCACUGGCAGGAAGAACAGCAAACGCCGAUGAAGGAAAAGGGUCUUUGCAGUGAUGGGCGUUACCAGAGAGGACGAUGGCCAGAGGACGCGAAUGGGACGGGGAGGCAGCGCGUUGGGGGGGGGGGGGGGGGGGGCGACACAGCUCGGGCCCGCCAGUGCCCCAACGGGGCCCUAGUUAGGGCCCGAGCGUAGCUGCUAAGCAGCUGCGAGAGCCCUCUUGUUCCUGUAGUUUCCUUCUUUUGUUAUUAGGGCCCGAGCGUAGCUGCUAAGCAGCUGCGAGAGCCCUAUUAUUCCCCAAGUGGUUUUUCUUUGUUUCUUUCUUUCUUCUUUUUCCUCCCCUUUGAACUGGAAAAUGGCCCACUUCCCACUGGCGAAAACUCAUGAAAUUUGGCAAGAUGACCGGGCCUGGUGAAAAAUUUGAUAUUCCGAAGUCGCCCAAACAAGAAAAUGCAAAAUGGCUCCAUAGCACGCCCCCUAAGGUGAAAAUUCACACUAUUGACUGUCACGCCUUUACGCUUUGUCAAAAUGACACAAAAAUUGACACACAUAUGUAUCUCAAUAAGAUCUACAAAAAAGUCAGUGCGGGCGUAUCUGUCAAAUGUAUGGUUAAAGGGCUAUUCCGCAUUUUUUGCCGAUCCGCACACAUUGGAAUUUCGCUAACUCCUCCGAAGGCUUUCGUUCCACCGGCACCACAUUUGCUCAGGCCAAUCUACACCCCAUGGCCAUUAAAAGUUAUUCAAAUCAUGACGCUGCACCCCACGGUUUACGUUCUAGGGGGCGCCAAAGAUAACCCAAAAAUCCACAUUUUUAAAAGUCUUAUAACUUUUUAUUUUUGUCCUCACUGGCCUCCAAGUUUUCUAGGAUGAUGCAAUGUCCAGCCAUCAACACAUUUGUGAAGGAAUUUUUACUCCCUAAAAGAGCGCCCCCCCAUGGCAGGAGAAAAAAGUCCAUUUUUUCUUGUCCCCUAAGGUGAAAAUACACAUUGUUGACUGUCACGCCUGUACGCUUUGGCAAAAUGACACAAAAAUUGACAAUCAUGUGUAUCUCAAUUAGAUCUACGAAAAAGUCAAAGAGCGCGUAUCUGUAUAAUGUACGGUAAAAGGGCUAUUUUGCAUUUUUUGCCGAUUCGCACACAUUGGAAUUUCGCUAACUCCUCCUAAGGCUUUCGUCCCACUGACACCAAAUUUGCUCAGGCCAAUCUACACUCCAUGGCCAUUCAAAGUUGUAAAAAUCAUGACGCUGCACCCCACGGUUUACGUUUUAGGGGGCGCCAAAGAUGACCCAAAUAUACAUUACAGUAGACAAAGUAGUUUUGCCCACUGAGUGGCGCCAAAGGGACUUGUCUGUGGAGUCUGUGAGUCACUAUUGGCCGUUUUUGACUACUUUAGAUUUUACCUUUAUAUUUCCUCUUACAAAAUUUUUACCUUGCCUUGCCUGGUAUCAUUUUUUUCAGCACAACCUCACCUGUGUCAAUUUACAGUUAUUUUAUCAUUUUGACAUACUAUAUUUACACAUUGGACCCAAAUUCACACACAAAACAUAAAAUCCGAGUGGAAAAAAGUAACGUUUUUACUGUGAAAACCACAAAUAUGUGUGAUGAACUGUUUUUAAAACUUAAACUUCAAAUAAAAAUUGUAAACUUCAAAACAUAUGCAAAUUUUUAACAAAGAACAUAGUAAUUUACCUCUAUUGACAUCAAAAUGCAGGCAAUGGCCCAGGUGUUCUUUGUAAAAUUAUUUACAAAACACUGUAUAGUCUCACAAAUGUCACUUUUUAUUUAUGCCACUACAAAAAAACAUGAUGUAAAUGAUGCAUGAUGUAAAACAUGAUGUAAAAAACUUGUGUAGAUCCUCCUCUAUGUUAGUCCAUGUGUAAUUUUUCCAUAAUUCUUUGUUUUUUGCAGCAUUUUUGUUAGUGUAACUGCAGAUUGUGCUGACAGUGUCUAUGGCAAAAAAAAAAAAAAAAACUGAAAAUGCCUCAACAUGAACCCCUGGUGGUCUCUGAGGGUGAAACCUGCUAACUGCUGCAGCUCUGUCAGCUUCAGUCUCCCAUGCAGAGCUCGGAGCCCAUGUGUGGCUCUGCACCCUUAGCAGCGUUGCUAACUCCUCAGUAAGGAAAGCCUGCUUCAUGUCAGAGUCUCUAAACUCCAGAAGAAGUCGAUAAAAGUCACUUUCUUUCUAAAAAAAAGUCGUUAGGGGGUCUGAAAAGUCAUUGAAUCUAACAACAAAGUCGCUAGGUUUGCAACUACGUGUCCCAGACUGCAUCCCUGCUGAGAGUCCCUCCCUCCCUUCUCAUAUUGCAGGAAGAACGUAAGUUCCCGCCCCUUGUCAAUCAGUCACCAUAUAAUUUUGGAUUGGUUGUUGUGGUGAAGUUUUCCACCAAUAGGAGAGAUGUUGUGGUGUGUAUUUUUUUUUCUUUGGCAAGCCUUUUCCGCCUGUAAGACCUGUCGCUAAUGUCUGCAUGCUAUGUUUUCCUGUCUCAUACAGCGCGAUCGAGCGCCGAACGUGAUCAAAAUAAGCAGAAAACAAGUAUCGCGGACAUAAUUUAUCAUAACUCUGGUUUUAUUUGGCCUAUCAACACAAUUUAAAAACUGGUAUAUAGGUUGAGGUCCUCACUUUUGAGAUAAGUUGAAACGGAGAGUCAACGAGGCUCCGUCUUGCAGCUACAUCCGGUUAAAUAUGUCAUGUGACUUGAACGCACACACACACACACACACAGACACACACACACACGCACACACACACACUCAGAGUCUGGUUUGUAGCACCUGCAAAAACAUGCUAUUUACAUAUUUGACAAGAAUGCAGAGGCUCCUUUUGCCCCUGAAAAAAAUCAAAUUUCAAACACAACUUGACUGGUCAUUUCUCUAAAAGACAACCAUGAAGCUCCAUCCAAACCUGAAGCAGGCAGUUGGUGCAUGUGUACAGUAACCUGAGGGGAGUGAGGUGACUGCUUCUGAGGAGAACAUGAGCAGUGAAGAUUUACCUUAGAGCUAGAACAGAGACGUGCACAUGAUUAUACAGGGGCAGGGGCUCAAGUUUUUUCCAGUCGUUUAUACAAUUUGGAAAUUAAUGUGAAAUUAAAAAACAAAGUAUUAAUAGAAAGGUAAUGACUGUCCUGUGUAGGUGACAGUGAUAUCCAAUAGGCUAGGCACUCACGAGGCUGGCUGUGGCAAGUGUAAGUGAAAGCAACACGCACUGGCAGGAAGAACAGCAAACGCCGAUGAAGGAAAAGGGUCUUUGCAGUGAUGGGCGUUACCAAAGAGGGCGAUGGCCAGAGGACACAAAUGGGACGGGGAGGCAGCGCGUUGGGGGGGGGACGCGACACAGCUCGGGCCCGCCAGUGCCCCAACGGGGUCCUAGUUAGGGCCCGAGCGUAGCUGCUAAGCAGCUGCGAGAGCCCUCUUGUUCCUGCAUGUUUCCUUCUUUCGUUAUUAUUUUUCCUCCGCUUUAAACUGGAAAAUGGCCCACUUCCCACUGGCGAAAACUCAGGAAAUUUGGCAGGACGACCGGGCCUGGUGAAAAAUUCGAUAUUCUGAAGUCGCCCAAACAAUAAAAUGCAAAAUGGCUCCAUAGCGCCCCCUAAGGUGAAAAUUCACAUGACGGCUGUACGCUUUGUCAUAUUGACACAAAAAUUGACACACACAUGUAUCUCAAUAAGAUCUACAAAAAAGUCAGUGCGGGCGUAUCUGUCAAAUGUACGGUUAAUGGGUUAUUUUGCAUUUUUUGCAGAUCUGCACACAUUGGAAUUUCGCUAACUCCUCCGAAGGCUUUCGUUCGACCGGCACCACAUUUGCGCAGGCCAAUCUACCCCCCAUGGCCAUUAAAAGUUGUACAAAUCAUGACGCUGCACCCCACGGUUUACGUUCUAGGGGGCGCCAAAGAUAACCCAAAAUCCACAUUCUUAAAAGUCUUAUAACUUUUUAUUUUUGUCCUCACUGCCCUCCAAGUUUUCUAGGAUGAUGCAAUGUCCAGCCAUCAACACAUUUGUGAAGGAAUUUUUACUCCCCAAAAGAGCGCCCCCCCAUGGCAGGAGAAAAAAGUCAAUUUUUUCUUGUCCCCUUACAUGAAAAUACACAUUGUUGAGUGUCACGCCUGAACGCUUUGUCAUAUUGACACAAAAAUUGACAAUCAUGUGUAUCUCAAUUAGAUCUACGAAAAAGUCAAAAAGCGCGUAUCUGUAUAAUGUACGGUUAAAGGGCUAUUUCGCAUUUUUUGCGGAUUCGCACACAUUGGAAUGUGGCUAUCUUCUCCUAAGGCUUUCGUCCCACCGAUACCAAAUUUGCUCAGGGCAAUCUACACCCCAUGGCCAUUCAAAGUUGUAAAAAUCAUGACGCUGCACCCCACGGUUUACGUUCUAGGGGGCGCCAAAGAUGACCCAAAAAUCCACAUUCUUAAAAGUCAUUUUGGCCACUGCAGGAGUACAGAGUACUGCAGUUCUAGGGGGCGCCAAAGAUGACCCAAAAAUCCACAUUCUUAAAAGUCUUUUUGGCCACUGCAGGAGUACAGAGUACUGCAGGAUACACACACAUAUACACACACACACACACACAGACACACACACACACACACUCAGAGUCUGUUUUUUAGCACCUGCAAAAACAUGCUGUUUACAUAUUUGACAAGAAUGCAGAGGCUUCCUUUUGCCCCUGAAAAAAAUCAGAUUUCAAACACAACUUGACUGUUCAUUUCUCCAAAAGACAACCAUGAAGCUCCAUCCAAACCUGAAGCAGAUAGUUGGUGCAUGUGUACAGUAACCUGAGGGGAGUGAGGUGACUAUUUCUGAGGAGAACAUGAGCAGUGAAGAUUCACCUUGGAGCUAGAACAGGGACGUGCACAUGAUUAUACAGGGGCAGGGGCUCAAGUCAUUUAUACAAUAUGGAAAUUAAUGUGAAAUUAAACCACAAAUAUGUGUGAUGAACUGUUUUUAAAACUUAAACUUCAAAUAAAAAUUGUAAACUUCAAAACAUAUGCAAAUUUUUAACAAAGAACAUAGUAAUUUACCUCUAUUUACAUCAAAAUGCAGGCAAUGGCCCAGGCGUUCUUUGUAAAAUUAUUUACAAAACACUGUAUAGUCUCACAAAUGUCACUUUUUAUUUAUGCCACUACAAAAAAACAUGAUGUAAAUGAUGCAUGAUGUAAAACAUGAUGUAAAAAACUUGUGUAGAUCCUCCUCUAUGUCAGUCCAUGUGUAAUUUUUCCAUAAUUCUUUGUUUUUUGCAGCAUUUUUGUUAGUGUAACUGCAGAUUGUGCUGACAAUCUAUGGCAAAAAAAAACAAAAACUGAAAAUGCCUCAACAUGAACCCCUGGUGGUCUCUGAGGGUGAAACCUGCUAACUGCUGCAGCUCUGUCAGCUUCAGUCUCCCAUGCAGAGCUCGGAGCGCAUGUGUGGCUCUGCACCCUUAGCAGCGUUGCUAACUCCUCAGUAAGGAAAGCCUGCUUCAUGUCAGAGUCUCUAAACUCCAGAAGAAGUCGAUAAAAGUCCCUUUCUUUCUAAAAAAAAGUCGUUAGGGGGUCUGAAAAGUCAUUGAAUCUAACAACAAAGUCGCUAGGUUUGCAACUACGUGUCCCAGACUGCAUCCCUGCUGAGAGUCCCUCCCUCCCUUCUCAUAUUGCAGGAAGAACGUAAGCGCCCGCCCCUUGUCAAUCAGUCACCAUAUAAUUUUGGAUUGGUUGUUGUGGUGAAGUUUUCCACCAAUAGGAGAGAUGUUGUGGUGUGUUUUUUUUUUCUUUUGGCAAGCCUUUUCCGCCUGUAAGACCUGUCGCUAAUGUGUGCAUGCUAUGUUUUCCUGUCUCAUACAGCGCGAUCGAGCGCCGAACGUGAUCAAAAUAAGCAGAAAAAAAGUAUCGCGGACAUAAUUUAUCAUAACUCUGGUUUUAUUUGGCCUAUCAACGCAAUUUAAAAACUGGUAUAUAGGUUGAGGUCCUCACUUUUGAGAUAAGUUGAAACGGAGAGUUAACGAGGCUCCGUCUUGCAGCUACAUCCGGUUAAAUAUGUCAUGUGACUUGAACGCUGGGGAGCGUCAAUCGAAUCGAAUCAAACCUAACUCUCAGAUGAAUCUUCAAAAUUCACCUCAGAAAUAUGCUUAUUAUUCUUCUCAGAGUACUGCAGGAUACACACACACACACACACACACACACACACACACACACACACACACACACACACACACACACACACACACACACACACACACUCAGAGUCUGUUUUUUAGCACCUGCAAAAACAUGCUAUUUACAUAUUUGACAAGAAUGCAGAGGCUUCCUUUUGCCCCUGAAAAAAAUCAAAUUUCAAACACAACUUGACUGCUCAUUUCUCCAAAAGACAACCAUGAAGCUCCAUCCAAACCUGAAGCAGGCAGUUGGUGCAUGUGUACAGUAACCUGAGGGGAGUGAGGUGACUGCUUCUGAGGAGAACAUGAGCAGUGAAGAUUCACCUUGGAGCUAGAACAGGGACGUGCACAUGAUAAUACAGGGGCAGGGGCUCAAGAUUUUUCCAGUCGUUUAUACAAUAAGGAAAUUAAUGUGAAAUUAAAAAACAAAGUAUGACUGUCCUGUGUAGGUGACAGUGAUAUCCAAUAGGCUAGGCACUCACGAGGCUGGCUGUGGCAAGUGUAAGUGAAAGCAACACGCACUGGCAGGAAGAACAGCAAACGCCGAUGAAGGAAAAGGGUCUUUGCAGUGAUGGGCGUUACCAGAGAGGGCGAUGGCCAGAGGACGCGAAUGGGACGGGGAGGCAGCGCGUUGGGGGGGGGGGGGGGGGGGGGCGCGACACGGCUCGGGCCCGCCAGUGCCCCAACGGGGCCCUAGUUAGGGCCCGAGCGUAGCUGCUAAGCAGCUGCGAGAGCCCUAUUAUUCCCCAAGUGGUUUUUCUUUGUUUCUUUCUUUAGGGCCCGAGCGUAGCUGCUAAGCAGCUGCGAGAGCCCUCUUGUUCCUGUAGUUUCCUUCUUUUGUUAUUAUUAUUAUUAUUUUUCCUCCCCUUUGAACUGGAAAAUGGCCCACUUCCCACUGGCGAAAACUCAUGAAAUUUGGCAGGACGACCGGGCCUGGUGAAAAAUUUGAUAUUCCGAAGUCGCCCAAACAAGAAAAUGCAAAAUGGCUCCAUAGCGCCCCCUAAGGUGAAAAUUCACACUAUUCACUGUCACGCCUGUACGCUUUGUCAAAAUGACACAAAAAUUGACACACACAUGUAUCUCAAUAAGAUCUACAAAAAAGUCAGUGCGGGCGUAUCUGUCAAAUGUACGGUUAAAGGGUUAUUUCGCAUUUUUUGCCGAUCCGCACACAUUGGAAUUUCGCUAACUCCUCCGAAGGCUUUCGUUCCACCGGCACCACAUUUGCUCAGGCCAAUCUACACCCCAUGGCCAUUAAAAGUUAUUCAAAUCAUGACGCUGCACCCCACGCUUUAGGUUCUAGGGGGCGCCAAAGAUAACCCUAAGAUCCACAUAUUUAAAAGUCUUAUAACUUUUUAUUUUUGCCCUCACUGGCCUCCAAGUUUUCUAGGAUGAUGCAAUGUCCAGCCAUCAACACAUUUGUGAAGGAAUUUUUACUCCCCAAAAGAGCGCCCCCCCAUGGCAGGAGAAAAAAGUCCAUUUUUUCUUGUCCCCUAAGGUGAAAAUACACAUUGUUGAGUGUAACACCUGUACGCUUUGUCAAAAUGACACAAAAAUUGACACACACAUGUAUCUCAAUAAGAUCUACAAAAAAGUCAAUGCGCGCGUAUCUGUCAAAUGUACGGUUAAAGGGUUAUUCCGCAUUUUUUGCCGAUCCGCACACAUUGGAAUUUCGCUAACUCCUCCAAAGGCUUUCGUUCCACCGGCACCACAUUUGCUCAGGCCAAUCUACACCCCAUGGCCAUUAAAAGUUAUUCAAAUCAUGACGCUGCACCCCACGCUUUAGGUUCUAGGGGGCGCCAAAGAUAACCCUAAGAUCCACAUAUUUAAAAGUCUUAUAACUUUUUAUUUUUGCCCUCACUGGCCUCCAAGUUUUCUAGGAUGAUGCAAUGUCCAGCCAUCAACACAUUUGUGAAGGAAUUUUUACUCGGCAAAAGAGCGCCCCCCCAUGGCAGGAGAAAAAAGUCAAUUUUUUCUUGUCCACUAAGGUGAAAAUACACAUUGUUGAGUGCUACGCCUGUAUGUUUUGUCGUAUUGACACAAAAUUUUACAUACACGUGUAUUUCAAUAAGAUCUUCGAAAAAGUCAAUGGCCACGUAUCUGUAAAAUGUACGGUUAAAGGGUUAUUUCGCAUUUUUUGCAGAUUCGCACACAUUGGAAUUUCGCUAAUUCCUCCGAAGGCUUUCGUUCCACCGGCACCACAUUUGCUCAGGCCAAUCUACACCCCAUGGCCAUUAAAAGUUAUUCAAAUCAUGACGCUGCACCCCACGGUUUAGGUUCUAGGGGGCGCCAAAUAUAACCCUAAAAUCCACAUAUUUAAAAGUCUUAUAACUUUUUAUUUUUGUCCUCACUGGCCUCCAUGUUUUCUAGGAUGAUGCAAUGUCCAGCCAUCAACACAUUUGUGAAGGAGUUUUUCUCUUUAAAAGAGCGCCCCCCAUGGCAGGAGAAUAAAGUCAAGUUUUUCCUGUUCAUCAUUCAAUGGCUCAAACGCACUGCUCUCUCGGCAAAAGCGAAAGGAGGAGCAACUUGCCAUUUGGAUAUAUCUUAGCUGUGUUUGUGCCCUCACUCAUGGUCCAGACUUUUUUCAAAUAGGACAUGGAGUUUUUCUGCAGCGAGCGUUUUGGUAGAAACUGCGCCUCCCGUUCAUUAUAAUGGUAAAUGACCACAAACAAGUGCGCACACCAUCUUUGGACCUUGAGUGUGACACGAUCGGGUGGGGGAGGCGGUCGCGCUGGGGGCGGCGCGACACGGCUCGGGCCCGCCAGUGCCCCAACGGGGCCCUAGUGUUAUUAUUAUUAUUAUUAUUUUUCCUCCCCUUUGAACUGGAAAAUGGCCCACUUCCCACUGGCGAAAACUCAUGAAAUUUGGCAGGACGACCGGGCCUGGUGAAAAAUUUGAUAUUCCGAAGUCGCCCAAACAAGAAAAUGCAAAAUGGCUCCAUAGCGCCCCCUAAGGUGAAAAUUCACACUAUUCACUGUCACGCCGGUACGCUUUGUCAAAAUGACACAAAAAUUGACACACACAUGUAUCUCAAUAAGAUCUACAAAAAAGUCAGUGCGGGCGUAUCUGUCAAAUGUACGGUUAAAGGGUUAUUUCGCAUUUUUUGCCGAUCCGCACACAUUGGAAUUUCGCUAACUCCUCCGAAGGCUUUCGUUCCACCGGCACCACAUUUGCUCAGGCCAAUCUACACCCCAUGGCCAUUAAAAGUUAUUCAAAUCAUGACGCUGCACCCCACGGUUUAGGUUCUAGGGGGCGCCAAAGAUAACCCUAAGAUCCACAUAUUUAAAAGUCUUAUAACUUUUUAUUUUUGCCCUCACUGGCCUCCAAGUUUUCUAGGAUGAUGCAAUGUCCAGCCAUCAACACAUUUGUGAAGGAAUUUUUACUCCCCAAAAGAGCGCCCCCCAUGGCAGGAGAAAAAAGUCCAUUUUUUCUUGUCCCCUAAGGUGAAAAUACACAUUGUUGAGUGUAACACCUGUACGCUUUGUCAAAAUGACACAAAAAUUGACACACACAUGUAUCUCAAUAAGAUCUACGAAAAAGUCAAUGCGCGCGUAUCUGUCAAAUGUACGGUUAAAGGGUUAUUCCGCAUUUUUUGCCGAUCCGCACACAUUGGAAUUUCGCUAACUCCUCCGAAGGCUUUCGUUCCACCGGCACCACAUUUGCUCAGGCCAAUCUACACCCCAUGGCCAUUAAAAGUUAUUCAAAUCAUGACGCUGCACCCCACGGUUUAGGUUCUAGGGGGCGCCAAAGAUAACUGUAAAAUCCACAUAUUUAAAAGUCUUAUAACUUUUUAUUUUUGUCCCCACUGGCCUCCAAGUUUUCUAGGAUGAUGCAAUGUCCAGCCAUCAACACAUUUGUGAAGGAAUUUUUACUCGCCAAAAGAGCGCCCCCCCAUGGCAGGAGAAAAAAGUCCAUUUUUUCUUGUCCACUAAGGUGAAAAUACACAUUGUUGAGUGCUACGCCUGUAUGUUUUGUCGUAUUGACACAAAAUUUUACAUACACGUGUAUUUCAAUAAGAUCUUCGAAAAAGUCAAUGGCCACGUAUCUGUAAAAUGUACGGUUAAAGGGUUAUUUCGCAUUUUUUGCAGAUUCGCACACAUUGGAAUUUCGCUAACUCCUCCGAAGGCUUUCGUUCCACCGGCACCACAUUUGCUCAGGCCAAUCUACACCCCAUGGCCAUUAAAAGUUAUUCAAAUCAUGACGCUGCACCCCACGGUUUAGGUUCUAGGGGGCGCCAAAGAUAACCCUAAAAUCCACAUAUUUAAAAGUCUUAUAACUUUUUAUUUUUGUCCUCACUGGCCUCCAUGUUUUCUAGGAUGAUGCAAUGUCCAGCCAUCAACACAUUUGUGAAGGAGUUUUUCUCUUUAAAAGAGCGCCCCCCCAUGGCAGGAGAAUAAAGUCAAGUUUUUCCUGUUCAUCAUUCAAUGGCUCAAACGCACUGCUCUCUCGGCAAAAGCGAAAGGAGGAGCAACUUGCCAUUUGGAUAUAUCUUAGCUGUGUUUGUGCCCUCACUCAUGGUCCAGACUUUUUUCAAAUAGGACAUGGAGUUUUUCUGCAGCGAGCGUUUUGGUAGAAACUGCGCCUCCCGUUCAUUAUAAUGGUAAAUGACCACAAACAAGUGCGCACACCAUCUUUGGACCUUGAGUGUGACGCGAUCGGGUGGGGGAGGCGGUCGCGCUGGGGGCAGUGUGACACGGCUCGGGCCCGCCAGUGCCCCAACGGGGCCCUAGUUCUUCUUUUUCCUCCCCUUUGAACUGGAAAAUGGCCCACUUCCCACUGGCGAAAACUCAUGAAAUUUGGCAGGAUGACCGGGCCUGGUGAAAAAUUUGAUAUUCCGAAGUCGCCCAAACAAGAAAAUGCAAAAUGGCUCCAUAGCGCCCCCUAAGGUGAAAAUUCACACUAUUGACUGUCACGCCUUUACACUUUGUCAAAAUGACACAAAAAUUGACACACAUAUGUAUCUCAAUAAGAUCUACAAAAAAGUCAGUGCGGGCGUAUCUGUCAAAUGUACGGUUAAAGGGUUAUUCCGCAUUUUUUGCCGAUCCACACACAUUGGAAUUUCGCUAACUCCUCCGAAGGCUUUCUUUCCACCGGCACCACAUUUGCUCAGGCCAAUCUACACCCCAUGGCCAUUAAAAGUUAUUCAAAUCAUGACGCUGCACCCCACGGUUUAGGUUCUAGGGGGCGCCAUAGAUAACCCUAAAAUCCACAUAUUUAAAAGUCUUAUAACUUUUUAUUUUUGCCCUCACUGGCCUCCAAGUUUUCUAGGAUGAUGCAAUGUCCAGCCAUCAACACAUUUGUGAAGGAAUUUUUACUCCCCAAAAGAGCGCCCCCCAUGGCCGGAGAAAAAAGUCAAUUUUUUCUUGUCCCCUAAGGUGAAAAUUCACAUUGUUGAGUGUCACGCCUGUACGCUUUGUCAUAUUGACACAAAAUUUGACACACACAUGUAUCUCAAUAAGAUCUACGAAAAAGUCAACGCGCGCGUAUCUGUCAAAUGUACGGUUAAAGGGUUAUUCCGCAUUUUUUGCUGAUCCGCACACAUUGGAAUUUCGCUAACUCCUCCUAAGGCUGGCGUUCCACCGGCACCACAUUUGCUCAGGCCAAUCUACACCCCAUGGCCAUUAAAAGUUAUUCAAAUCAUGACGCUGCACCCCACGGUUUAGGUUCUAGGGGGCGCCAAAGAUAAACCUAAAAUCCACAUAUUUCAAAGUCUUAUAACUUUUUAUUUUUGUCCUCACUGGCCUCCAAGUUUUCUAGGAUGAUGCAAUGUCCAGCCAUCAACACAUUUGUGAAGGAAUUUUUACUCCCCAAAAGAGCGCCCCCCCAUGGCAGGAGAAAAAAGUCAAUUUUUUCUUGUCCCGUAGGGUGAAAAUUCACAUUGUUGAGUGUGACACCUGUACGCUUUGUUAUAUUGACACAAAAUUUGACAAUCACGUGUAUCUCAAUAAGAUCUACGAAAAAGUCAACGCGUGCGUAUCUGUCAAAUGUACGGUUAGAGGGCUAUUUUGCAUUUUUUGCCGAUUCGCACACAUUGGAAUGUGGCUAACUCCUCCUAAGGCUUUUGUCCCACUGAAACCAAAUUUGCUCAGGCCAAUCUACACCCCAUGGCCAUUCAAAGUUGUAAAAAUCAUGACGCUGCACCCCACGGUUUACAUUCUAGGGGGCGCCAAAGAUGACCAAAAAUUCCACAUUCUUAAAAGAAUCCACAUUCUCCCCCCCCCCAUGGCAGGAGAAAAAUAUCAAGUUUUUCCUGCCCAUCGCUCAAUGGCUCAAUCGCAUCGCUCUCCAGGCAACACCGUAACGAGGAGCAACCUGCCAUUUGGAUAUAUCCCAGCUGUGUUUGUGCCCUCACUCAUGGUCCAGACUUUUUUCAAAUAGGACAUGAAGUUUGGCAGCUCGGGCCCGCCAGUGCCCCAACGGGGUCCUAGUUAUUUUUCCUCCGCUUUAAACUGGAAAAUGGCCCACUUCCCACUGGCGAAAACUCAUGAAAUUUGGCAGGACGACCGGGCCUGGUGAAAAAUUCGAUAUUCUGAAGUCGCCCAAACAAUAAAAUGCAAAAUGGCUCCAUAGCGCCCCCUAAGGUGGAAAUUCACACUAUUGACUGUCACGCCUUUACGCUUUGUCAUAUUGACACAAAAAUUGACACACACAUGUAUCUCAAUAAGAUCUACAAAAAAGUCAGUGCGGGCGUAUCUGUCAAAUGUACGGUUAAAGGGUUAUUGCGCAUUUUUUGCCGAUCCGCACACAUUGGAAUUUCGCUAACUCCUCCGAAGGCUUUCGUUCCACCGGCACCACAUUUGCUCAGGCCAGUCUACACCCCAUGGCCAUUAAAAGUUGUACAAAUCAUGACGCUGCACCCCACGGUUUAGGUUCUAGGGGGCGCCAAAGAUAACCCAAAAAUCCACAUUCUUAAAAGUCUUAUAACUUUUUAUUUUUGUCCUCACUGCCCUCCAAGUUUUCUAGGAUGAUGCAAUGUCCAGCCAUCAACACAUUUGUGAAGGAAUUUUUACUCCCCAAAAGAGCGCCCCCCCAUGGCAGGAGAAAAAAGUCAAUUUUUUCUUGUCCCCUUACAUGAAAAUACACAUUGUUGAGUGUCACGCCUGAACGCUUUGUCAUAUUGACACAAAAAUUGACAAUCAUGUGUAUCUCAAUUAGAUCUACGAAAAAGUCAAAGAGCACGUAUCUGUAUAAUGUACGGGUAAAGGGCUAUUUCGCAUUUUUUGCCGAUUCGCACACAUUGGAAUGUGGCUAUCUCCUCCUAAGGCUUUCGUCCCACUGAUACCAAAUUUGCUCAGGGCAAUCUACACCCCAUGCCCAUUCAAAGUUGUAAAAACCAUGAUGCUGCACCCCACGGUUUACGUUCUAGGGGGCGCCAAAGAUGACCCAAAAAUCCACAUUCUUAAAAGUCAUUUUGGCCACUGCAGGAGUACAGAGUACUGCAGUUCUAGGGGGCGCCAAAGAUGACCCAAAAAUCCACAUUCUUAAAAGUCUUUUUGGCCACUGCAGGAGUACAGAGUACUGCAGGAUACACACACAUAUACACACACGCCAACACACACACACACACACACACACACACACACACACACACACACACACUCAGAGUCUGUUUUUUAGCACCUGCAAAAACAUGCUGUUUACAUAUUUGACAAGAAUGCAGAGGCUUCCUUUUGCCCCUGAAAAAAAUCAAAUUUCAAACACAACUUGACUGUUCAUUUCUCCAAAAGACAACCAUGAAGCUCCAUCCAAACCUGAAGCAGAUAGUUGGUGCAUGUGUACAGUAACCUGAGGGGAGUGAGGUGACUAUUUCUGAGGAGAACAUGAGCAGUGAAGAUUCACCUUGGAGCUAGAACAGGGACGUGCACAUGAUUAUACAGGGGCAGGGGCUCAAGUUUUUUCCAGUCAUUUAUACAAUAUGGAAAUUAAUGUGAAAUUAAAAAACAAAGUAUUAAUAGAAAGGUUAUGACUGUCCUGUGUAGAUGACAGUGAUAUCCAAUAGGCUAGGCACUCACGAGGCUGGCUGUGGCAAGUGUAAGUGAAAGCAACACGCACUGGCAGGAAGAACAGCAAACGCUGAUGAAGGAAAGGGUCUUUGCAGUGAUGGGCGUUACCAGAGAGGACGAUGGCCAGAGGACGCGAAUGGGACGGGGAGGCAGCGCGUUGGGGGGGGCAGCGCGACACGGCUCGGGCCCGCCAGUGCCCCAACGGGGCCCUAGUUAUUAUUUUUCCUCCCCUUUGAACUGGAAAAUGGCCCACUUCCCACUGGCGAAAACUCAUGAAAUUUGGCAGGACGACCGGGCCUGGUGAAAAAUUUGAUAUUCCGAAGUCGCCCAAACAAGAAAAUGCAAAAUGGCUCCAUAGCGCCCCCUAAGGUGAAAAUUCACACUAUUCACUGUCACGCCGGUACGUUUUGUCAAAAUGACACAAAAAUUGACACACACAUGUAUCUCAAUAAGAUCUACAAAAAAGUCAGUGCGGGCGUAUCUGUCAAAUGUACGGUUAAAGGGUUAUUUCGCAUUUUUUGCCGAUCCGCACACAUUGGAAUUUCGCUAACUCCUCCGAAGGCUUUCUGUCCACCGGCACCACAUUUGCUCAGGCCAAUCUACACCCCAUGGCCAUUAAAAGUUAUUCAAAUCAUGACGCUGCACCCCACGGUUUAGGUUCUAGGGGGCGCCAAAGACAACCCUAAAAUCCACAUAUUUAAAAGUCUUAUAACUUUUUAUUUUUGUCCUCACUGCCCUCCAAGUUUUCUAGGAUGAUGCAAUGUCCAGCCAUCAACACAUUUGUGAAGGAAUUUUUACUCCCCAAAAGAGCGCCCCCCCAUGGCAGGAGAAAAAAGUCCAUUUUUUCUUGUCCCCUAAGGUGAAAAUACAUAUUGUUGAGAUUCACGCCUAUACGCUUUGUCAUAUUGACACAAAAUUUGACAAUCAUGUGUAUCUCAAUUAGAUCUACGAAAAAGUCAAAGAGCGCGUAUCUGUAUAAUGUACGGUUAAAGGGCUAUUUUGCAUUUUUUGCCGAUUCGCACACAUUGGAAUGUGGCUAUCUCCUCCUAAGGCUUUCGUCCCACC